CAGGUCCAGGAACUCGGGCAGCCACGGGGGGUCAGGUGCCACGGGCAGCCACGGCGGGUCAGGUGCCACGGGCAGCCACGGCGGGUCAGGUGCCACGGGCAGCCACGGCGGGUCAGGUGCCACGGGCAGCCACGGCGGGUCAGGUGGCUUGGGCACCCACGGCAGGUCAGGUGGCUUGGGCACCCACGGCAGGUCAGGUGGCUUGGGCACCCACGGCAGGUCAGGUGGCUUGGGCAACCACGGCAGGUCAGGUGGCUUAGGCGGCCCCGGUAGGUCAGGUAGCUUGGGCGCCCACGGCAGGUCAGGGUCCGUAGCCGGCCACAGCAGUUCACAGGCGGUUGAAGACCGUGGGCGUGUAAGGUCCCCACCCG
Molecule: long non-coding RNA, 371 nt
Organism: Ctenopharyngodon idella (grass carp)
Lineage: Eukaryota; Metazoa; Chordata; Actinopteri; Cypriniformes; Xenocyprididae
Exons: 3
Source: RefSeq, a predicted model, not a curated record